Long non-coding RNA from Peromyscus eremicus (cactus mouse), 738 nucleotides. RefSeq lists it as uncharacterized. NCBI's taxonomy places the organism in Eukaryota, Metazoa, Chordata, Mammalia, Rodentia, Cricetidae. The transcript has 4 exons. The record is from RefSeq and is a predicted model, not a curated record.
CCCAGGUGGUCUUCAGUUACUAAUGAAAAGAGGUGUCCCUCCCCCACCGCCCCCCAUCGUGAAGCUUCAAAUGGUGACAUUUUCUCUUAUAACAGUACAGCUCAGGAAGCCCACAUCAUGACCAAGUACAAGGAAGGUAAGCACUUUCUGCCUCGCUCAUCCCUGAAGAUUCCUGGUUUCUACGGAGACCACAGAGCAUCCUGACCUCUUAAGCCUUCAGCUUCAGCAUCAGUUUGGGACAGUAUUCGUAAAGUUGACGCUUCAGGCACAAUUUCCUGAGAACUGUAUGAGUGGAGUGAUACCAAGACUGUGCGUGCAGACAGACUGUAGAGGGAUCAUUCAGCACUCACUCAGAUACUCUGAAUUGUUUUCUUACUGUUGUACUCAGAAGACUAUGCUGCCCAAAGUUGUUCACACUGGUACUUAAAACAAGAUGGACAGUGAACUCUUACCUUGGUUACUAGGCUGAUUAAGUAAUAAAAGAGAAGGAUAGUUCCAACGAUGCCAGCGAUCACCCCCAAAACAAUGGCUAUUGUCACUAUGGGAGAUAAAAAGGAAGAAAGUGAAGAAUCAACUGUGUCAUUUGAAAAACCAAACAGGUGAUAUAACCUUGCCUGCUCACAGAAAAUGCAUCAAUACUUCAUAGUUUUGUCCACAUUUAAUCUUUAAAAACUUUGGAUUUUGAUGGUAACCUUGUGGGCAUCUGGAACUUUAUGCAUCUCAGCCACACAGUGAAUU